GACGAACGCUGGCGGCGUGCUUAACACAUGCAAGUCGAACGAAGAGCGAUGGAAGCUUGCUUCUAUCAAUCUUAGUGGCGAACGGGUGAGUAACGCGUAAUCAACCUGCCCUUCAGAGGGGGACAACAGUUGGAAACGACUGCUAAUACCGCAUACGAUCUAACCUCGGCAUCGAGGAUAGAUGAAAGGUGGCCUCUACAUGUAAGCUAUCGCUGAAGGAGGGGAUUGCGUCUGAUUAGCUAGUUGGAGGGGUAACGGCCCACCAAGGCGAUGAUCAGUAGCCGGUCUGAGAGGAUGAACGGCCACAUUGGGACUGAGACACGGCCCAGACUCCUACGGGAGGCAGCAGUGGGGAAUCUUCCGCAAUGGACGAAAGUCUGACGGAGCAACGCCGCGUGAGUGAUGACGGCCUUCGGGUUGUAAAGCUCUGUUAAUCGGGACGAAAGGCCUUCUUGCGAAUAGUUAGAAGGAUUGACGGUACCGGAAUAGAAAGCCACGGCUAACUACGUG
Molecule: ribosomal RNA, 510 nt
Filed under: uncultured bacterium
Lineage: Bacteria
Description: partial 16S ribosomal RNA
Rfam family: Bacterial small subunit ribosomal RNA
Source: RNAcentral